UAUAGAAAUUAAUUCCUGCAAGUCAACAAAAUGGCAUUACAUUUAAAUUAAGAUGUGUGUUUUAUUUUAUUCUUUAUCAUAAGUAUAUUAAAAUAUAAUCAAUUACAUUAUAAUAUCAGGAAAAAAAGGUUCUUGUCUACCAAUUUAUUUUUAGUAAAUCGUAUUUAGGUAUAUAUUUUGGAUUUGACAUUUAUUUAUUUGCUUAAAAAGACCAUAGAAAAUUCAACAGGACACUUGGUUUUAAAUGAAGACGGAGCUGUUUUGUCAAGUCAUGGUGAUCUGCAAAAUGAUGAAAAGACAGCAAGCUCCAUUUAUAAUCUCAUUUCCAUAGUCAAAAC
Culicoides brevitarsis is the source of this 338-nucleotide long non-coding RNA. RefSeq lists it as uncharacterized. NCBI's taxonomy places the organism in Eukaryota, Metazoa, Arthropoda, Insecta, Diptera, Ceratopogonidae. The transcript has 3 exons. The record is from RefSeq and is a predicted model, not a curated record.